This 500-nucleotide ribosomal RNA is filed under the name uncultured bacterium. RNAcentral's name for it is "partial 16S ribosomal RNA". It matches the Rfam family "Bacterial small subunit ribosomal RNA", at positions 29 to 523 of the family's 1533-position model. The record is from RNAcentral.
AUUGAACGCUGGCGGCAUGCCUUACACAUGCAAGUCGAACGGCAGCGCGGACUUCGGUCUGGCGGCGAGUGGCGAACGGGUGAGUAAUACAUCGGAACGUACCCUGUUGUGGGGGAUAACUAGUCGAAAGAUUAGCUAAUACCGCAUACGACCUGAGGGUGAAAGUGGGGGACCGCAAGGCCUCACGCAGCAGGAGCGGCCGAUGUCUGAUUAGCUAGUUGGUGGGGUAAAGGCCCACCAAGGCGACGAUCAGUAGCUGGUCUGAGAGGACGAUCAGCCACACUGGGACUGAGACACGGCCCAGACUCCUACGGGAGGCAGCAGUGGGGAAUUUUGGACAAUGGGGGCAACCCUGAUCCAGCAAUGCCGCGUGUGUGAAGAAGGCCUUCGGGUUGUAAAGCACUUUUGUCCGGAAAGAAAUCGCGCUGGUUAAUACCUGGCGUGGAUGACGGUACCGGAAGAAUAAGCACCGGCUAACUACGUGCCAGCAGCCGCCGCGG